GUGACAACAGAUUAAAUAUCAGGUCUCUGGGCCUGUUGGAAAUUGAGAAGAAGUUGAAAAUGUAAAUUGUUUAUGACGCCCACCACACGACGCACGACAAUGGACAAAAGGCUAUCACAAUAGGUCAACUUCGUCUCAAACAAUCCCUUUGAAAUCCACUUUUAUUGAUAGCCUCUUUUCUCUAAAAAUUAAUACGCCACUAUAACAGCCAAUCAAAAGCGACGUUACUAAAGGCGGUGUCAUUUCUUUUACGUUGUGAGCUGAUCACAUGAAUUUUGAAACUACACAUACACUCACUUUCAUUCCCUUCAGUUAUAUCUAGUCUAACAACUAUUUAUACAAACAAUACUAAUAACACAACACUUCAUUCUAUACAAUCACUUUCUCUUCAGUCAGGUCUAGAAACUAUUCAUACAAACAAAAGGCAACAAACAUAUACUAUUACAUAAUAUACAACAAACUAGACUUACAUAUAAAUAUGUAUCAAAGUUUUCUGUCAAUCAACACACUCCUGUAAAUACGAAAUCAGUCUCAUUGCUCUGUUCCUGGUAUCACAGUGAUUUCUAGUAAAACCAGUACCAGGUACCAAUAUUGAUGUUAUAACUCAGUCUCAUUGCUCUGUUCCUGGUAUCAGUGAUUUCUAGUAAAACCAGUACCAGGUACCAAUAUUGAUGUUAUAACUCAGUCUCAUUGCUCUGUUCCUGGUAUCACAGUGAUUUCUAGUAAAACCAGUACCAGGUACCAAUAUUGAUGUUAUAACUCAGCCUCAUUGCUCUGUUCCUGGUAUCACAGUGAUUUCUAGUAAAACCAGUACCAGGUACCAAUAUUGAUGUUAUAAAAUAAUUAUGGUUGUUAUUUUUUAACAAAUAUCUUAAAUAUUGAUACCACACAAACAAAAAUAAACAAAUUACCAGGAUUUUAAAACAAUUGUAUCAGCAAUUAUAACAACAAUAAUACACUUCACAUUGUAUUACAUGAGAUUUCACCAGAUAGAAUAAAAUAAAAAUACAUGCACUGGCAAUCUGACUUACAAAAUGUAAUUUACACAAUGUAUGUACUAUUGCCCAUGAAAAAUGCUAACAUCUGACUGCUGGAACGGAUAAUUAAUGUUUCCCCUGUCAGAUCAUAUUAAGGUUGUUUUAUUUAUAAAUAUUCUAUCAUACACGUUGCAAACUGUACAAAUGAUACCAGUGUAUAAUUUUUUUUUCUUGCUAGAAAUCAAACAAAAAUAAAUUUUGUAUCACUUUGAAAUGCCAAUUAAAAUUCCUCACCAAAGAACAAAAAUACAGAUAAGCCAGUACAAGGUACGAAUAUUGAUAUUGUAAAACAAUUUUUGUUGGAUCAGGUUUUCUAAACAUAGAAUGUAUGUUAAAUAUAGAAAACCAAAACAAACAAAAAUAACUAAAAUACUAGGAAUGUACAAGAAACAAACUUCAGGAUUUUUUCUUUUCUUAGUUUAUAAAAGUUUUUAGAUUUCAUUCGAAUUUUUGUUGUUAAAAAAAAAUCUUGCUUAUGUAUUACUUUGAAAUAUCAAUACAAAUAGUUGAUGAAACAAUUUUAAGAUUAGAAAAAACACAUUUCAACAGAAAUCUCUCUCAUAACUUUAAUCAACAUUUUAUCUAUAUGUUAAUUUGCCAAAAAAAAAAUAAAAAUAAUAAAAACAAUUAAAAAUAAAUGAAUGAAAUCAAAUUUAAAAAAAAAA
Molecule: long non-coding RNA, 1702 nt
Organism: Pecten maximus
Lineage: Eukaryota; Metazoa; Mollusca; Bivalvia; Pectinida; Pectinidae
Exons: 2
Source: RefSeq, a predicted model, not a curated record